GCCAUUAGUCAACAUCAGAGGAAUAAAUUGUGUGGGAAUCCCUAGGAACCUCAAGUAAUCUGGAAGGGACCAACAAUGUUUCAAUUCAUGUGAAUAUAAACAUAUGCAGAAUUCUCCAUUAACUGAUGAGUGUUCUUCUAUUAGAAUCUUGGUGUUAAGCGUGCUGGUCAGACGGUGUGUUAGCAGGGAGCAAAAUACGUUACACAAGCAAAUUUUUAGCGAGAUUGGAGAUACACCCUCCCAAGAGUCCUGAUUUUGGUGGGACAGUCUAAAGUUUGGGGUCCGGUCUCGCCAUCCGGAUUUUGUUUCCUGGUGUCCCCAUGCAGUGCAUUAAGGGUGCCACCAGUGACAGUGCUGGCGUCACCAUUAACCCCUUAAGAACACAACUUCUGGAAUAAACGGUAAUCAUGAUGGAAUAUUUCCGUCAUGUGUCCUUAAGGGGGGAGUGCUGGUGCUCCUCUGAGCUACCCAUCUGUCCUGAUUUCUUACUUCUCAUUCCUCCCCAGGACUAACCUACCUUCCCUCUCUGACUAUGAAUCACCGAAAUGUCUGCCUUUCCCCUCACCCUCUUCUGGCAGUGCAUUGGGCAGCAGUUGUGGUGAGACAGUGAAGGACAGUCCUUACACUCUUGUGGGGUGUAGAAUCACC
Molecule: non-coding RNA, 648 nt
Organism: Pelobates cultripes (western spadefoot toad)
Lineage: Eukaryota; Metazoa; Chordata; Amphibia; Anura; Pelobatidae
Source: the annotation of a GenBank genome assembly